UGUUUUCUGAACACAUGAGCUAUGGCUAGGUUAGCGAGAGGUGUUGAUGCACAAUAUGACGGUCCUGGUCCAAUAUCACGACGG
Molecule: long non-coding RNA, 84 nt
Organism: Haliotis rubra (blacklip abalone)
Lineage: Eukaryota; Metazoa; Mollusca; Gastropoda; Lepetellida; Haliotidae
Exons: 3
Source: RefSeq, a predicted model, not a curated record